UACGGAGGGUGCAAGCGUUGUUCGGAAUUAUUGGGCGUAAAGCGCGCGUAGGCGGCCGUUUAAGUCUCACUGUGAAAGCCUGCGGCUCAACCGCAGGAGGCCAGGGGAUACUGGGCGGCUGGAGAGAGGUAGAGGCGAGCGGAAUUCCGGGUGUAGCGGUGGAAUGCGUAGAGAUCCGGAAGAACACCAGAGGCGAAGGCGGCUCGCUGGACCUGUUCUGACGCUGAGGCGCGAAAGCGUGGGGAGCGAACAGG
Molecule: ribosomal RNA, 254 nt
Filed under: uncultured bacterium
Lineage: Bacteria
Description: partial 16S ribosomal RNA
Rfam family: Bacterial small subunit ribosomal RNA
Source: RNAcentral